This 245-nucleotide ribosomal RNA is filed under the name uncultured bacterium. RNAcentral describes it as "partial small subunit ribosomal RNA". It matches the Rfam family "Bacterial small subunit ribosomal RNA", at positions 26 to 285 of the family's 1533-position model. The record is from RNAcentral.
AGAAUCAACGCUGGCGGCGUGCCUAACACAUGCAAGUCGAACGAGAAAGUGGAGCAAUCCAUGAGUAAAGUGGCGCACGGGUGAGUAACACGUGACUAACCCACCCUUGAGUGGGGAAUAACUGAGGGAAACCUUAGCUAAUACCGCAUAAUACCUACGGGUCAAAGGAGCAAUUCGCUUAAGGAGGGGGUCGCGGCAGAUUAGCUAGUUGGCGGGGUAAUGGCCCACCAAGGCAGUGAUCUGUA